RNAcentral lists this ribosomal RNA (20 nucleotides) under homobasidiomycete sp. BM63-1206. RNAcentral describes it as "partial small subunit ribosomal RNA". The record is from RNAcentral. Lineage: Eukaryota; Fungi; Basidiomycota; Agaricomycetes.
GUACAAGGUUUCCGUAGGUG